GUUUAUGGCCAUACCACCCUGAACACACCUGAUCUCAUCUGACCUCAGAAGCUAAGCAGGGUUGGACCCGGUCAGUAUUUGGAUGGAAGACCACCUGGGAAAUACCAGGUGCCAUAAGCC
Nematolebias whitei (Rio pearlfish) is the source of this 120-nucleotide ribosomal RNA. The record is from RefSeq and is a predicted model, not a curated record. Lineage: Eukaryota; Metazoa; Chordata; Actinopteri; Cyprinodontiformes; Rivulidae.